This 497-nucleotide ribosomal RNA is filed under the name uncultured bacterium. RNAcentral's name for it is "partial 16S ribosomal RNA". It matches the Rfam family "Bacterial small subunit ribosomal RNA", at positions 28 to 507 of the family's 1533-position model. The record is from RNAcentral.
GAUGAACGCUGGCGGCGUGCCUAAUACAUGCAAGUCGAGCGAACGGACGAGAAGCUUGCUUCUCUGAUGUUAGCGGCGGACGGGUGAGUAACACGUGGAUAACCUACCUAUAAGACUGGGAUAACUUCGGGAAACCGGAGCUAAUACCGGAUAAUAUUUUGAACCGCAUGGUUCAAUAGUGAAAGACGGUCUUGCUGUCACUUAUAGAUGGAUCCGCGCUGCAUUAGCUAGUUGGUAAGGUAACGGCUUACCAAGGCGACGAUGCAUAGCCGACCUGAGAGGGUGAUCGGCCACACUGGAACUGAGACACGGUCCAGACUCCUACGGGAGGCAGCAGUAGGGAAUCUUCCGCAAUGGGCGAAAGCCUGACGGAGCAACGCCGCGUGAGUGAUGAAGGUCUUCGGAUCGUAAAACUCUGUUAUUAGGGAAGAACAUAUGUGUAAGUAACUGUGCACAUCUUGACGGUACCUAAUCAGAAAGCCACGGCUAACUACGUG